GGAGAGUUGACCGAGUGGCCGAAGGUGACGGUCUUGAAAACCGUUGAGGCGUUUUAGCGUCUCCGUGGGUUCGAAUCCCACACUCUCCG
RNAcentral lists this transfer RNA (89 nucleotides) under Demequina sediminicola. It matches the Rfam family "tRNA". Rfam says of the family: Transfer RNA (tRNA) molecules are approximately 80 nucleotides in length. Their secondary structure includes four short double-helical elements and three loops (D, anti-codon, and T loops). RNAcentral also lists the same sequence under 1 other name. The record is from RNAcentral. Lineage: Bacteria; Bacillati; Actinomycetota; Actinomycetes; Micrococcales; Demequinaceae.